This is a long non-coding RNA of Rana temporaria (common frog), 1435 nucleotides long. RefSeq lists it as uncharacterized. The record is from RefSeq and is a predicted model, not a curated record. The transcript is spliced from 3 exons. NCBI's taxonomy places the organism in Eukaryota, Metazoa, Chordata, Amphibia, Anura, Ranidae.
UUCUUAGGAUACAGGAUAACAUCUUGUUCCUUUAACAUUGUUGAAUUAUAUUGUUGAAUUAUGAAUUUAUAGUAGGUACACUGUAACCAUACUAUAUGAACUAUUUGUUUUUAUUUUCAACCAAAAAUCAGCUCUAUAGUCAUAUGUUUUUUACAUAUAUAAUAUCUAUAACAUCUACACAAACUACUUCAAUCAUAUGUACUAAUUUAAUGGUUCCACAGUUUUCUGGCCACAUCCAAUAUUUUGAGGCCCUCAGCCUGAUAGUGGAUAUCGGGCUGGGCUUCAACUUUCUUUCCACUGUUUUGGGCACAUUUGGCGAUGUGUCGCAGUUUCCUCCUUGGUAUGGCCAAUUGUGCAGUUUGUUUAUUGGCCACAAGGGCGCUCGGGGAGUUUAGUGUUAGCCUCCACACUCACUCCCCUUACCACAGCUGAUUUUCCCCUAUGCAAUGUCGUUAGCAAUCUUCCUUUUUUGUCGGUAAUACUGACAACACAGCCCCUGUCCAUCUGUGAUCAGCUUGUCUUGUUUGCUGUGUGCAUUGUCACACAUACUUUCUUGAGCCCACUUGUCCACUGAUGGGGUUAAAUUUUCUCCCCACCGUUUGACAUAGUGAGCUCUCUGCUUGAUCCAUUCCACCUGUCAUCCCAUCAAGCCUCCUCACGCUGCAGGUGUAUUGCACGCAUUGCUUUGGGACUUGUUUCAGCUGUGAUUGGCCCACCCGAUAUCAUGUGAUGCUUACACGUCACACAUCGGGUUAGGACAGCCUAUUUAAACGGCAUUUUGCUGCACACCCAGUGCAGAAUGCCGCAGGGUCAUAUGUUCAGUGAGCACUCUUGUCCUUAAUGCUUUGCAGGUAUGUUAAACUCCUUUUGUGCUAUCUCCCUACAACUACACUGCUAGAUUUCACUCCAUCUAAUUGCAACUAUGCUUGCUGUGUAUGCUCUUUAGUUCCCCUUCUGGAUCAAGCAGCUGAUUUCUUCUGGCUUUAUACACACUAAGCUUAUUGUGACUUUGCAACACUGCCUGCGAUCCUUAUAUAGAUCUUAUACAGAUAUUUUGGGAAAUCUACAUGAUUCCUUCCUUGAAUUAACACUGCAGCUGGAUUGCUCAUUGAUGUCCCUGGUCUUUAACCCCAUAAACCGUUAUAUAUGAUCAUGCACAUGACCAUUUUCACCUCGGCGGUUUUCUGUGUUUGUCGCUAGUUGUGGGCAACUCGUGGGUAAGAUAGUGUGGUCUUUAAACUUUGGAACCAUUUUUUACCAUUAUAUGUUGUACCUGAUUUAAGCAAUUGGAAUGUGUAUCAUAUUUUACUGGUUAAUGCUUGUAUAUAUACCUUUCAGUUGCAUAUUUUGACUGGAUAUCGCUCCCUCCCCUGAAGAAGCGGAAGUCCGCGAAACAUGUAGGGUCUAUGCGAUUUCCUUUUCCAGUUGCAUCCAU